This is a long non-coding RNA of Coffea arabica (coffee), 2153 nucleotides long. RefSeq lists it as uncharacterized. The record is from RefSeq and is a predicted model, not a curated record. NCBI's taxonomy places the organism in Eukaryota, Viridiplantae, Streptophyta, Magnoliopsida, Gentianales, Rubiaceae.
AUUUUUCUACUUUUGCUCACGUCAAUUCGUCAGGAAAAGUUUUCAUUCUCCCACCAGUUUUUCCCACCAGUUUUUUUCCCUUUUUUGGACCAAAAAAGAAUUUAGAAGGACAUCAACUUAUGACAUAGAAACCGGGAAACAGAAAACACUUGUUCCAUCUCUCUUUCUUUUGGAACAACAACGACAAAGAAGCACUUCUCCAAAUCUGUAACUCAUCUUCAUCUAUUUCAAUAAGAGAGACAACACGAUGGUCUAAGGUGAUGUAAACAUCAAAUAAUCCUUCAAUUUUGUCUUGAAUCGGUUCCCUUUCUCCAAAUCCCCUUUCAAUUUUGUCUUUAAUUGGUUCCUUUUUUUAAUUUUUAUAGUGGGUAUUUUAUUUAUCUCUCCCUUUCUCUGUUCGUCGAAACCUAGGAAGAUGCUUCAGUUCUUGUGCCCGGGGAUAUAAUCAGUAUAAAAUUUGGUGAUUCUGGUUCUGGUAAUGAUUUGGGGAUGCUAAUUGGGGAUGCUUCACUAUACGAUUGAGUUCAAUUGGGGAUGCUAAUGAUAUGGCUGAUUCUAGUAACGAUUUUAGGGGUUUCAAGGCUGCUAGUAGGGAAGUUCAAUGCGUAGGCGCAUUAUUUGCUUUGUUCGAAUUUCUUUUGGACUGUUGUGUGCUUUUAGGAUUUCAUUUGUGGGUGUGAUGCUUUUGUUGAUCUUAAUGUUGAUUUUUGGUGAAAAGGAUUCUUUUUCAUGUUCGUUCGCAAAAGCAAUUUGGGAAGCUUCGAUUGAACUUUGUGUUUCAUUAUUUUUCAUGUUCGCUCGUAGUUUCGGAUUUUUGAACUUCGGCUCUGCUUGAUCAUGCUUUUUAUGCCCAUUCUUGUCGGAUUUCUGGUUUCUUGAUUUUAGUUUGUUCUACCGUGUUAGUUUUUGUCAGUGUUUUAGAAAAGGAAAAUUGACGUUUUAGUUUUGUUGUAAAUUAACAAUGGACCUUUUGUUUUGCUUUUGUGCUCAUAUUCUGUAUUUGCAGCUGUUGCUAAAAAAAUUGAUUCAUGUAAUUGGCAGUGAUUUAUGUAUCUUUUUGGUGUUGUCUUGGUGAAAUGCUUGUAAUAAGCAUAGCAAUUACUUGUUUUCUCGUUUUCUAUGGUAUAUGUUCUAGAUCUUCUUUCACAUGUAGAUAUGGCUUUGAGAUAAGUUUCCGACUAAAUGAGGAAAGGUGCAAUUUUGAAUGGUAAACAUGCGGCCAAAUUGCCAAUCACAUGCCAAAUUAUGAACUAGAGCUAUAAGUUGGCAUUUGCAGAUGGUAGUGGGUGUGUCUUCAGGAGUUGGGAGAAUUUGAUUCACAAUUAUAUACCAUUUUAAAAGGCUAUGCUAUGUGCUCAGUAAUUAGACUAGAGAGGAUGAUGCUUCAGUGCUAGAACUUAGUGCAAGAGGAUACUGCUAUAUUAUUUGUGAUUUAAGUAAGUCUCAAUCAACUUGCACAAUGGUGAUCUUUGUACUAGUUUUCUAGUUCGAGUAAGAAUAAGUACUUUGUAAUAUCUGUUUUGCUUGCUUUCCUGGAAUUUAAGUUUUCUCCUGAUUCCCAUGCGUAUAUCUAUGGCUAAUAUACUGAUAUUGUUUGACAUGUAACUGGUUUUGGUUUCCUCUUUUUAUUUCCUCUAGAUUUGUUUCUGGUCCUUUAUUCCUGUAUAUGAAGUUAUGAGUCAUGCCCUUGCAGCAAAUUUCACUGCUUCUGGAGAGCAGUAAAUUGGAGAUAAAAUAUCUCUUGGAAUGGAAGGGAACCAUGGAGAAAGGAAUUACUGACCUUGAAUCAUGGAAAGAAACUUAGAAAUUAUCAUUGAGCAGGUGACUGCUUGCAAGCUGUGGCGGCAAGUUGGAGAAUCUUUUAAUCCUCCAAAGUUUGGGAUGAACUUGUGGAUUGAUUUUGGCUCAUGCUGAAGAACUCCUCUAUUUUGAUAUCAUCCAUCUCUAGUUUUUGUUGACCAUGGAAUUGAAGUCCAUCUUUUGGUUUUAGCAUAUGUUAGGUAUAUGGCAGUUAUCUAGGGAGAAAUAGCAAUAUUUAUAUUGGUUUCAAAUCGUGGAAUGGGAUGAUAUGUAAAUGUUUGACAUGGUUAACUUUUGUGGUUUGACAUAUUAUGGUUGCCUACUAAUGAUAAUUUGUGAAGUUUUGGUUGAUA